AACGUAUCAGGAUGAACCGGACCGUCAACUGGUGGUCAAACGCUGAGACAGCGUGUAUCAGGGCGGCGAUAACUCCAUUAUCGCGCAACGGAAUUUCCGCUUGAACAAGCCGCAGCCCGCUAAACCAUUCCUCGACGUUCUCUCCGGAAGCCGCCGGUCCGUGCCGCCGGUCUGGAUGAUGCGGCAGGCCGGCCGUUACCU
RNAcentral lists this unclassified non-coding RNA (201 nucleotides) under Hevea brasiliensis (rubber tree). Lineage: Eukaryota; Viridiplantae; Streptophyta; Magnoliopsida; Malpighiales; Euphorbiaceae. The record is from RNAcentral.